AGGACAGGACCAGCUGAGGAAAGGGGCAGUCCCUAAAAGGAGGUUUAUUCCUCCUACUUUCAGAGGAGUGGCUGGUAGACUGAUGGCUCUUUUAUUAGUGAAGCCUGUACAUCUCAUGGUCCAGACUGACAAAGAAAUGAUGAGAUAAAGAUGAAUUCAGAUAAGCCUGUGAGCUCUGCGUCACCCCCUGACAGUUUCCUCACCACAGUCAGAAUGGCACUUGUGACAGACACUGGAGUUUCUCUUCAAUCUAAUUAAGGUUCCAUUAACUUAACUAGUUUAACCAUAUUUGCUUUCUAUUAUGGCCAACCUCCAGGCCAGAAUUUCAAUAAUUAUCAUAUGUUGUUGAUUUUUUUUCCACGAACACUUUCCGGUUGCCACUGUCCUUCAGCAAUUGGGCAAGCCUUCUGUCUAUGUGACAAAAAUAAAAAAAAAGGAUACAAUCAAACUGCAUUCAUUGAUUGGCAGAUGCAUUCUAGCUGUUAAAUGAGCUGCUGGGGUCUUCCAGAUAAGCCCCUGCAUUCUGGAGCUUGCCCUGCAGUGGGUGACGUGGACAUGUUCAGCAGAGCUGUGUAAUGACUAUGGCCAUGUGCCGGUAGACGCCAAGUGCUGUGUUAUCACACAUGAGGAAAAACUGGGCAUUCAUAGAACCAUUACUGGAAGAGGAAAGGGCUAGAGUGAAUCCAAAAUUUCAACUAGAGAUUGGCCAUGGGAAGAGAGAGGAAGAAGAUAUUGCAGGAAGAAAGGUAGUGACUUGAACACAUUUGGAAAAGUUCAUUUAUUCAACAAGAUCCACCAGUGCAGGAAGAAGAGAGAGAGAGAGAUGAUGUCAGACCAUGAAUGUCCCAAAUAGAAAAAUUAAAAAGGGAAACUUUGUUAUCAGAUAGAUUGACUUUAAAAAACAUAACAUUUAGGCCCAAUUAUGGAGGAUAGAUCAGUGAGGGCAAGAUGAGACACCCAGAUAAUAACUGGGAGGCUGUUACAAUGAUCCAGUUGAAAAACAAGGAGGAUAAGCUAAUUUUGGGAUGAUGGGAUGAAGAAAAUAGAAAAAAAAAGGAGUUACAAUAGACAGGAUUCAAUCAAGGAGGAUGAAGAAGAUUUAAAUGCUAAGGAUGACAUCCAAAGUACAGACUGACCCAAAUGUCUGGAUGGUGGCUCCGCUGGGCAAGCUAAAGAAAUGGUGAAGUCAACUCAGGACACGCUGACUUUGAGAGAUUCAAGGGACAAUUCAUGCAAACCGUGGGUUGGCAGAUGCACAUCUAACCUGGGGAUAAGGAUGUAAAAUACGAUAAAGCUUUCAAUUCCUAACAAUGAAUGAAAUU
Molecule: long non-coding RNA, 1322 nt
Organism: Pongo pygmaeus (Bornean orangutan)
Lineage: Eukaryota; Metazoa; Chordata; Mammalia; Primates; Hominidae
Exons: 3
Source: RefSeq, a predicted model, not a curated record